This 261-nucleotide ribosomal RNA is filed under the name uncultured bacterium. RNAcentral's name for it is "partial 16S ribosomal RNA". It matches the Rfam family "Bacterial small subunit ribosomal RNA", at positions 465 to 722 of the family's 1533-position model. The record is from RNAcentral.
GACAUUGAAGGUACCAGAAGAAUAAGCGCCGGCUAACUUCGUGCCAGCAGCCGCGGUAAUACGUGGGGUGCAAGCGUUGUCGCGGAUUUAGUGGGUUAAAGGGUGCGUAGGCGGUCUAUUAAGUCAGUGGUGAAAUCCGGGCAGCUCAACUGGUGAUGUGCCAAUGAUACUGAUGUAAUUGAGUACAGAGCGAGGUAGGCGGAAUUGGGCAGUGUAGGGGAGAAAUGCAUAGAUAUUGGCAAGAACACCGAUAGCGAAGGC